AUGGAGGCGACAGUAGGCUCACUCAGGUGCGAUGUUGACGCGCGUGACGACAGUGCCGGCGACAGCAAAUACAGCAACGACCUCGAGGUUGUCUUGGUUCAAGUGCGUCCUAAGGUACCAGACUGUCAGUUCAGUGAACAUUCAUCUUUGAACUUUUUGACUAGUAUACUGCACUUGCAUGCAGGGAAAAUUCCACAAUCGUUGUUCGCUCUUCCGAGGCUGGAAAAUGUUUACCUUCAAGAAAACCAGCUUUCUGGUUCACUAGAAGACAUUCCUUACCCUUUAACUUCAUCUCUGUUAUGUAUUGACUUAGCCAACAAUCAACUAUCAGGCCCGAUACCCAACUCACUUUUUCAUCUUACAAAUCUUAAUUAUCUCAUUCUUGAAUCAAAUAAAUUCACAGGCACAGUUGAACUUAGCUCUGUCUGGAAGCAGAAGAAUCUAUUUAUCCUAAGCCUGUCAAACAAUUUGAUAUCACUCAUAGAUGAUGAAGGUUAAACAGUGCCUCCUUAUCUUCCUAACAUCAAGUACUUAUACCUGUCAUCUUGCAACCUUACAAAAAUUCCAGGCACAUUAAAAUAUCUUGAUGCGGUUUCCCUUCUUGACCUUUCGAGUAAUCAAAUAACGGGGGCUAUACCAAAUUGGAUAUGGGAGAAUUGGAAGGGCCACCUUAAUAUUUUGAACCUCUCGUGCAACAUGUUAACUACUUUGGAACAAUCUCCUUCUCUUGUUAAUAUGUCCAAUUUAGCUUAUCUUGAUCUCAGUUUCAAUAGACUUCAAGGAAGCAUACCAAUACCAGUAACCACAUCCAGUGAGAUCGCAUUGGACUACUCAAACAACCACUUCUCUUCAAUAGUACCGAACUUUGGCAUAUAUCUUGAAAACGCCAGCUAUAUUAAUUUCUCCAAUAAUAAACUAAGUGGCAAUGUACCAUCUUCGAUUUGUAAUGCAAGCAAAGCCAUUAUCACGGACUUAUCUGGCAACAACUACAGUGGAUCAGUACCAGCAUGUCUUACAGGAAGUGUAAACUUAAGCGUAUUGAAAUUGAGAGACAACCAAUUCCAUGGGGUGUUACCUAACAAUAGUAGAGAGGGGUGCAAUCUUCAGUCAAUAGAUGUGAAUGGAAACCAAAUUGAAGGUAAACUACCUAGAUCACUAUCAUACUGCCAAUAUUUGGAGCUCCUGGAUGCUGGAAAUAAUCAGAUUGUUGAUUCUUUUCCAUUUUGGUUGGGUAAACUUCCAAAUCUCCGAGUCCUUGUCUUAAGAUCCAACAAACUCAAUGGCACAAUAAGGGGUCUUAAAGGUUGUCACCAAAAUUGUAAUCACUUCAAAAGGUUGCAAAUAAUUGAUUUGGCCUCCAACCAUUUCUCUGGCAACAUACAUCCAGAAUGGUUUGAGCAUUUUCAAUCAAUGAUGGAAAAUGACAACGAUGAGGGACACAUAUUAGAGCAUACCACAAACACAAAAAUACCAUUGCUCUAUCAGGAUAUUACGGUUGUCAAUUACAAAGGGGGCACUCUUAUGUUCACUAAAAUCCUAACCACCUUCAAAGUAAUUGAUCUCUCAGAUAACUCAUUUGGUGGUCCUAUUCCAAAGUCAUUGGGGAAGCUUGUUUCACUACGUGGACUUAACCUGUCACACAAUGCCUUCACAGGACACAUUCCAUCGCAGCUUAAUUCUCUGACUCAGCUGGAGUCAUUGGAUCUCUCUUGGAACAAACUCUCAGGGGAAAUCCCUCCUGAGUUAGCUUCUCUAACUUCUCUUGCUUGGUUGAAUCUUUCGUACAACAACUUGACCAGAAGAAUACCGCAGGGUAACCAGUUCGGGUCAUUUAGCAACAGCUCCUUUGAAGGUAAUGUCAACCUCUGUGGAAAGCCACUCUCUAAACAAUGUGAUACUCCAGGCUCAACAUCUCCAAGUGCAUCAGCUCCUUCAGGUACCAACAGUUUCUGGCAGGACAGACUUGGCGUGAUCCUUUUGUUCAUCUUUUCUGGCCUGGGGUUCACAGUGGGCUUCAUAUUGGCAGUCUGGUUCGAAUCAUUGUGCCACAUAGAACGAUGGAAUCGCAAAAAACGAUGAUUGUUAGUAUACACUAUAUGUAUGGUGUUUAUCCACCUACGGACAUGAUAUAUGUGUAUGUGUGUACUCGUAAUUAGUGAGAAUUUAAAUUCAUUUUCUGUUGAUAAGAA
Non-coding RNA from Oryza sativa Japonica Group (Japanese rice), 2189 nucleotides. The record is from RefSeq and is a predicted model, not a curated record. Lineage: Eukaryota; Viridiplantae; Streptophyta; Magnoliopsida; Poales; Poaceae.